UACGUAGGGGGCAAGCGUUGUCCGGAUUCAUUGGGCGUAAAGAGCGUGUAGGCGGCCAGGUAGGUCGGUUGUGAAAACUGGAGGCUCAACCUUCAGACGUCGACCGAAACCAUCUGGCUAGAGUCCGGGAGAGGAGACUGGAAUUCCUGGUGUAGCGGUGAAAUGCGCAGAUAUCAGGAGGAACACCGAUGGCGAAGGCAGGUCUCUGGGCCGCUACUGACGCUGAGAAGCGAAAGCAUGGGGAGCGAACAGG
RNAcentral lists this ribosomal RNA (253 nucleotides) under uncultured bacterium. RNAcentral describes it as "partial 16S ribosomal RNA". It matches the Rfam family "Bacterial small subunit ribosomal RNA", at positions 524 to 776 of the family's 1533-position model. The record is from RNAcentral.